This 381-nucleotide ribosomal RNA is filed under the name uncultured bacterium. RNAcentral's name for it is "bacterial SSU rRNA". It matches the Rfam family "Bacterial small subunit ribosomal RNA", at positions 525 to 896 of the family's 1533-position model. The record is from RNAcentral.
ACAGAGGGUGCAAGCGUUAAUCAGAAUGACUGGGCGUAAAGGGCGUGUAGGUGGUUAAUUAGGUUUGAUGUGAAAUCCCCGGGCUUAACCUGGGAAUUGCGUCGAAAACGGAUUAACUCGAGUGAGAUAGAGGGUUGUGGAAUUUCCGGUGUAGCGGUGAAAUGCGUAGAUAUCGGAAAGAACAUCAGUGGCGAAGGCGACAACCUGGAUCUUAACUGACACUGAGGCGCGAAGGCGUGGGGAGCAAACAGGAUUAGAUACCCUGGUAGUCCACGCAGUAAACGAUGAGAACUGGCUGUGAUGUGUAGGGAGCAAUCUCUGCAUGACGUAGCGAAGCUAACGCGUUAAGUUCUCCGCCUGGGGAGUACGGCCGCAAGGUUA